This 252-nucleotide ribosomal RNA is filed under the name uncultured bacterium. RNAcentral describes it as "partial 16S ribosomal RNA". It matches the Rfam family "Bacterial small subunit ribosomal RNA", at positions 524 to 776 of the family's 1533-position model. The record is from RNAcentral.
UACGUAGGUGGCAAGCGUUGUCCGGAAUUAUUGGGCGUAAAGCGCGCGCAGGCGGUCCUUUAAGUCUGAUGUGAAAGCCCACGGCUCAACCGUGGAGGGUCAUUGGAAACUGGGGGACUUGAGUACAGAAGAGAAGAGUGGAAUUCCACGUGUAGCGGUGAAAUGCGUAGAGAUGUGGAGGAACACCAGUGGCGAAGCGACUCUUUGGUCUGUAACUGACGCUGAGGCGCGAAAGCGUGGGGAGCGAACAGG